RNAcentral lists this ribosomal RNA (1198 nucleotides) under Weissella confusa. RNAcentral describes it as "bacterial SSU rRNA". It matches the Rfam family "Bacterial small subunit ribosomal RNA", at positions 44 to 1235 of the family's 1533-position model. Lineage: Bacteria; Bacillati; Bacillota; Bacilli; Lactobacillales; Lactobacillaceae. The record is from RNAcentral.
GGGCCUAUACAUGCAAGUCGAACGCUUUGUGGUUCAACUGAUUUGAAGAGCUUGCUCAGAUAUGACGAUGGACAUUGCAAAGAGUGGCGAACGGGUGAGUAACACGUGGGAAACCUACCUCUUAGCAGGGGAUAACAUUUGGAAACAGAUGCUAAUACCGUAUAACAAUGACAACCGCAUGGUUGUUAUUUAAAAGAUGGUUCUGCUAUCACUAAGAGAUGGUCCCGCGGUGCAUUAGCUAGUUGGUAAGGUAAUGGCUUACCAAGGCAUGAUGCAUAGCCGAGUUGAGAGACUGAUCGGCCACAAUGGGACUGAGACACGGCCCAUACUCCUACGGGAGGCAGCAGUAGGGAAUCUUCCACAAUGGGCGAAAGCCUGAUGGAGCAACGCCGCGUGUGUGAUGAAGGGUUUCGGCUCGUAAAACACUGUUGUAAGAGAAGAAUGACAUUGAGAGUAACUGUUCAAUGUGUGACGGUAUCUUACCAGAAAGGAACGGCUAAAUACGUGCCAGCAGCCGCGGUAAUACGUAUGUUCCAAGCGUUAUCCGGAUUUAUUGGGCGUAAAGCGAGCGCAGACGGUUAUUUAAGUCUGAAGUGAAAGCCCUCAGCUCAACUGAGGAAUUGCUUUGGAAACUGGAUGACUUGAGUGCAGUAGAGGAAAGUGGAACUCCAUGUGUAGCGGUGAAAUGCGUAGAUAUAUGGAAGAACACCAGUGGCGAAGGCGGCUUUCUGGACUGUAACUGACGUUGAGGCUCGAAAGUGUGGGUAGCAAACAGGAUUAGAUACCCUGGUAGUCCACACCGUAAACGAUGAGUGCUAGGUGUUUGAGGGUUUCCGCCCUUAAGUGCCGCAGCUAACGCAUUAAGCACUCCGCCUGGGGAGUACGACCGCAAGGUUGAACUCAAAGGAAUUGACGGGGACCCGCACAAGCGGUGGAGCAUGUGGUUUAAUUCGAAGCAACGCGAGACCUUACCAGGUCUUGACAUCCCUUGACAACUCCAGAGAUGGAGCGUUCCCUUCGGGACAAGUGACAGUGUGCAUGUUGUCGUCAGCUCGUGUCGUGAGAUGUUGGUAGUUCCGCACGACGCACCCUAUACUAGUGCCAUCAUCAGUGGGCACUCUAUAGACUGCGUGACGACGAGAGUGGGAUGAUCAAUCUCAUGCCUGACCUGCCUCACGCUACAGCUACACGAGUGCCA